UACGAAGGGUGCAAGCGUUACUCGGAAUUACUGGGCGUAAAGCGUGCGUAGGCGGUUCGUUAAGUCCGUUGUGAAAGCCCUGGGCUCAACCUGGGAAUGGCAGUGGAUACUGGCGAGCUAGAGUGUGAUAGAGGAUGGUGGAAUUCCCGGUGUAGCGGUGAAAUGCGUAGAGAUCGGGAGGAACACCGAUGGCGAAGGCAGCCCCCUGGGCUAACACUGACGCUCAGGCACGAAAGCGUGGGGAGCAAACGAGG
Molecule: ribosomal RNA, 254 nt
Filed under: uncultured bacterium
Lineage: Bacteria
Description: partial 16S ribosomal RNA
Rfam family: Bacterial small subunit ribosomal RNA
Source: RNAcentral